Molecule: unclassified non-coding RNA, 200 nt
Filed under: soil metagenome
Description: partial contains internal transcribed spacer 2 and large subunit ribosomal RNA
Source: RNAcentral
GUGACGGCUGGUCUUAAAUGCAUUAGCUGACCCAUGUUGUAUAUUUGGUUCUACUCGGCGUGAUAAGUUCUGACCGCUGAGGACAUCUGCUUUCGGGCGGAUGGCCAGACAUACCUUGGAUUGCUUCUAAUCUGUACGUCUUUGACGACAACCUUUCAAUUUUUGACCUCGAAUCAGGCGGGACUACCCGCUGAACUUAA